AUCGCUUCUCAGCCUUUUGGCUAAGAUCAAGUGUAGUAUCUGUUCUUAUCAGUUUAAUAUCUGCUACGUCCUCUAUCCGAGGACAAUAUAUUAAAUGGAUUUUUGGAGCAGGGAGAUGGAAUAGGAGCUUGCUCCGUCCACUCCACGCAUCGAACUGGUAUUCUGCAGUACUUCCAGGAACGGUGCACCAAAA
Molecule: small nuclear RNA, 193 nt
Filed under: Neogale vison (American mink)
Lineage: Eukaryota; Metazoa; Chordata; Mammalia; Carnivora; Mustelidae
Description: Neovison vison (American mink) U2 spliceosomal RNA (ENSNVIG00000013984.1)
Rfam family: U2 spliceosomal RNA
About the family: U2 is a small nuclear RNA (snRNA) component of the spliceosome (involved in pre-mRNA splicing). Complementary binding between U2 snRNA (in an area lying towards the 5' end but 3' to hairpin I) and the branchpoint sequence (BPS) of the intron results the bulging out of an unpaired adenosine, on the BPS, which initiates a nucleophilic attack at the intronic 5' splice site, thus starting the first of two transesterification reactions that mediate splicing.
Source: Rfam by way of RNAcentral